This 2457-nucleotide ribosomal RNA is filed under the name Triticum aestivum (bread wheat). RNAcentral describes it as "partial small subunit ribosomal RNA". Lineage: Eukaryota; Viridiplantae; Streptophyta; Magnoliopsida; Poales; Poaceae. The record is from RNAcentral.
AUGGCCGCCCCAGCCACGCCGCGCCUCCUGCUCUCGCCGACGUCCAAGGACCUCAUCACCGGAAGCUCCUUCGCCUCGCCUCCUUCCCCCACCUCCUCCUCCCCCGACCCCGCCUCCCCGCUCGACGCCUUCGCCUCCGAUCCCGUCCUCUCCGCCUUCCUCUCCCCGUCCUUCUCCCCCUCCGACUUCUCCUCCGCCGCGCUCUCCUCCGGCCUUGCCGCCUCCCGCGCCGAGCAGCUGCAGGACGCCAUCCGCCUCCUCCGUCGCCACCUCCGCGCCGAGGUGCUGCGCCGACAUCCGCUCCUCCUCUCGCACCUCCUCUCCCUCCGCUCCGCCUCCGCCUCCCUCUCCAGUCUCCCCUCCAACCUCCGCCUCCUCUUCUCCCACCUCUCCCUACUCUCAUCUCACCUCUCGGCGCCGCGCGCCCACCUCGCGCUCUCCUCCUCCUCCCUCUCCAGCCUCCUCGCCACCGCCGACCUCCUCCUCCACUCCCACCGUCUCGUCCGCCUCUCCUCACGCCUCCUCGCCUCCUCCCCUGCCCCCGACCUCGCCCGCCAGGCUGAGCUCCAUCGCGAGAUCCGCCUCCUAUACGAGGAGAAGAACCUCUCCGGCAUCAAUGCCGUUGAUGAGGAAAUGCGCAAGGUUGAUGCUGCCGCCUCCAAGCUCCGAUCGGAGGCCAGUGCUGUGAUCGACCGUGGCAUCACCGAGUCCAACCAGAACGACAUCUGGUGCGGUCUGCAGGUGUACUACAAUCUUGGAGAACUGAAGCCGGCGGUUGAGGGGCUCGUGGGGAAGUGCAAGGCAGCAGGGGCGAAGAGCGUGACCGUGGCACUGGACAUGAAGGCGAUAUCGAUGGCUGGUGGUGGAGGCGGCCCUGGAGGCGUGCAGAGAAGCGGCACGCCACAGCUUGGUGGCAGUAAGAGGGCAGCGGAUGCACUCUGGGAAAGGAUGAGGCAGUGCAUGGAGGAGCUGCAUCGGGCAGUCACCGCUGCAUGGCAGCUGCAGACUGUGCUCACCAAGAAGCGUGUGCCGUUCACACAAAUGCUGUUCCUUGAGGAGGUUUGGCAGGAGGGUGAGCCUCUGUUGACAGAGAGAGUAUGGGAUGCAAUUGUUAAGGCCUUUGCAAGCCAGCUGAAAUCUGUCUUUACUGCGUCAAGCUUUGUCAAGGAAAUAUUUACUCUUGGAUAUCCAAGACUGUUCUCAAUGAUUGAGAACCUUCUUGAGAGGAUUUCAAGAGAUACUGAUGUAAAGGGUACCCUUCCAGCACUUACUCCCGAAGGAAAAGAUCACAUGGUUGCAGCCAUUGAGAUAUUCCAGACCGCCUUUUUGGCUCUUAGUCAGAGUCGUCUUUCUGAUUACAUCAAUAGCAUAUUUCCUAUGUCAAACCGUGGAAGUAUACCAUCAAAGGAUCAAAUAUCAAGGCUAAUAUCUCGCAUCCAAGAGGAAAUUGAAGUUGUGCGAACUCAUGGGCAUUUGCUGCUUCUUGUUCUACGUGAAAUUGGAAAGAUCUUGCUUCUUUUAGCACAAAGAGCUGAAUAUCAGAUCUCUACUGGCCCUGAAGCCCGUCAAGUUACUGGCACAGUGACUCCAGCUCAAUUAAAAAACUUUGCUCUGUGUCUACAUCUCCACGAGGUUCACACACGUAUUUCAAGCAUCCUGUCAACACUCCCAAAUGUUGCUUCUGAAGUCCUUUCCCCAUCUCUUGGGGUCAUAUAUGGGGUUGCUUGUGAUUCGGUGACCUCCCUAUUCCAAGCAAUGCUCGAUCGUCUGGAAUCAUGCAUUCUGCAAAUGCACGAGCAGGACUUUGGAGCUGAUGGAAUGGAUGGAGCGAUGGACAAUAAUGCAUCAGCCUACAUGGAGGAGCUUCAGAAGUGUGCCGUCCACUUCCGCAGCGAGUUCUUGUCAAAGCUUCUGCCAUCAUCAGCCUCCCGCUCGGAGACCAUAUGUACCAUAAUGGUUAGAAGGAUGGCUUCAAGGAUCCUUAUAUUCUUCAUAAGACACGCUUCUCUUGUCAGGCCACUCUCUGAAGCAGGGAAGUUGAGAAUGGCUAGGGACAUGGCCGAGCUGGAGCUAGCUGUCGGUCAGAAUCUGUUUCCUGUGGAGCAGCUGGGCUCUCCAUACCGGGCAUUGCGUGCGUUCCGCCCCGUCCUAUUCCUGGAAACAUGUCAGCUUGACAAGUCUCCACUCCUUCAGGACUUACCACCCAGCGUGAUCCUCCACCACCUAUAUUCGCGAGGGCCGGAUGAGCUACACUCGCCCUUACAGCGAAACAAGCUGACACCGCUGCAGUACUCUCUGUGGCUUGAUUCACAAGGCGAGGAUCAGAUCUGGAAGGGCGUGAAGGCAACCCUGGACGACUAUGAGAUGAAGGUCAGGUCCCGUGGAGACAAGGAGUUCAGUCCAGUGUACCCUCUCAUGUGUCAGAUUGGAUCUGCAUUGUCACAGGCCACACCUUGA